UGGAGUGUCGUCCAAUGGUAGGACAUCUGACUUUGAAUCAGGUAAUCGGGGUUCGAAUCCCUGCACUCCAGCCA
Molecule: transfer RNA, 74 nt
Filed under: Dictyobacter arantiisoli
Lineage: Bacteria; Bacillati; Chloroflexota; Ktedonobacteria; Ktedonobacterales; Dictyobacteraceae
Description: tRNA-Gln
Rfam family: tRNA
About the family: Transfer RNA (tRNA) molecules are approximately 80 nucleotides in length. Their secondary structure includes four short double-helical elements and three loops (D, anti-codon, and T loops).
Source: RNAcentral